Columba livia (rock pigeon) is the source of this 864-nucleotide long non-coding RNA. RefSeq lists it as uncharacterized. Lineage: Eukaryota; Metazoa; Chordata; Aves; Columbiformes; Columbidae. The transcript is spliced from 2 exons. The record is from RefSeq and is a predicted model, not a curated record.
UGACUGUGGGCCUGGGGCAGUGCAGGAGCCGUAUAAAUGUAGGUCCUUCUCCUCACUCUCUUAUCCACUCCUCUUGCCUCCAUCACUUGGGGAACAAGGUGCAGCUUCAGCCACAAGACAUGUCCUGCUACAACUCGUGCCUGCCCUGCCAGCCCUGCGGCCCGACCCCGCUGGCCAACAGCUGCAAUGAGCCCUGUGUCAGGCAGUGCCAGGACUCCAGGGUUGUCAUUGAGGCCCCAGCUGUGGUGGUGACCCUGCCCGGCCCCAUCCUCAGCUCCUUCCCGCAGAACACCGCCGUGGGCUCCUCCACCUCUGCUGCCGUUGGCAGCAUCCUCAGCUCUCAGGGAGUGCCCAUCAACUCCAGGGGCUUUGGUCUCUCUGGCUUGGGCAGCAGCAUCUGCGGCACAAGGAGGUGUUUCCCCUGCUAAAGCUGCUGGUGAUGGCCCUGCGGAAGGCCCCCAGGGACAUACAAGAUGGGACUGGACUGGGGAUGGGUGAUCAGGCUGUUGUUUUCAGAGGGGCUGAGCAACCCCAGCACCCCUUGCAAAAGGACGGCGCCAGCCUGGGCUCUCAGAAAGCACGGCCCAUGCCGCCUUUCCCCUCUUCCAGUGUCUCCUGUUCCUCUUGUGUCCUUGUUUUAUUGUGCUCCCCUGGGCUGUGAGUCCCACAAAGCCAGCCUAGGGAGGAGCUGCUGGCCCUGCUUCCCCUGUGGGGCAGGCAGAUAGAUAUCUGACUGAUCUCUUCCACAGACAUGGGUCAAAGACUCUUGUCUGCCUGCGACACUUCCUGCUCCAGGAUUUCUACUAAGAGUGGCCUGUUUCCCUCUUUUUCAUCAAUAAAGUUUUGCUGAUGCAUCCCAGACAA